This 292-nucleotide ribosomal RNA is filed under the name uncultured bacterium. RNAcentral describes it as "partial 16S ribosomal RNA". It matches the Rfam family "Bacterial small subunit ribosomal RNA", at positions 505 to 796 of the family's 1533-position model. The record is from RNAcentral.
GUGUCAGCCGCCGCGGUAAGACGUAGGGCGCAAGCGUUGUCCGGAUUUAUUGGGCGUAAAGAGCUCGUAGGCGGCUUGUUGCGUCGACUGUGAAAAACCACGUCUCAACCGUGGGACUGCAGUCGAUACGGGCAGGCUAGAGUUCGGUAGGGGAGACUGGAAUUCCUGGUGUAGCGGUGAAAUGCGCAGAUAUCAGGAGGAACACCGGUGGCGAAGGCGGGUCUCUGGGCCGAUACUGACGCUGAGGAGCGAAAGCGUGGGGAGCGAACAGGAUUAGAAACCCCUGUAGUCC